RNAcentral lists this ribosomal RNA (384 nucleotides) under Mantoniella sp. Its description in RNAcentral is "partial small subunit ribosomal RNA". It matches the Rfam family "Eukaryotic small subunit ribosomal RNA", at positions 582 to 975 of the family's 1831-position model. Lineage: Eukaryota; Viridiplantae; Chlorophyta; Mamiellophyceae; Mamiellales; Mamiellaceae. The record is from RNAcentral.
AUUCCAGCUCCAAUAGCGUAUAUUUAAGUUGUUGCAGUUAAAAAGCUCGUAGUUGGAUUUCGGUUGAGAGCGGCCGGUCCGCCGUUUGGUGUGCACUGGCUGGUCUCAACUUCCUGCGGAGGACGCGCUCUGGGCUUAACGGUCUGGACGUGGAGUCCGCGUGGUUACUUUGAAAAAAUUAGAGUGUUCAAAGCGGGCUUACGCUUGAAUAUUUCAGCAUGGAAUAACACUAUAGGACUCCUGUCCUAUUUCGUUGGUCUCGGGACGGGAGUAAUGAUUAAGAGGAACAGUUGGGGGCAUUCGUAUUUCAUUGUCAGAGGUGAAAUUCUUGGAUUUAUUGAAGACGAACUACUGCGAAAGCAUACAUCAAGGAUGUUUUCAUUA